UUGGGAGGGUAUUCCCCCUGGUAUGUUUAUGCAUAGCAGAGAUCAUUAGUCCAGAAUGGUCACCCAUUGUCAGAGGAGAGGUGAUAAUGGCCUACUUACCAUAUUGACUUCUGAUACCAUGUCUAUGCUGGCUAUGUCUAUAUUCAUUCCCACUCCAACCGGAGGACCUGAGACAGAUCAAAACAACGGAGGGUUCCGUGCGAUAAAUGCAUCCCUGCACCAACAGUUGCUCACGCAUCGAUCUCCACGCAUUCGGGCCUCUGAGGAAAACGAGAAGCGUGGCUUAAUACUCCGUGAGGCGCGGUGCCAGUACCUCGGGUUGGAAGCGGGAUGAAUGGAGCAGAGCAGUAUGCACCGAAGCCUACACUCAGCGGUUCUUUCGCAGCCAUGGACGCUUGUGGCUCCACGCACUGGUAAGCAGGAUGUGCGCCACUGUGUAAACUCGGACACGAAUCGUCAUGGAUAUGGUGGGAUCAGAGGCGGAUGCUAGAGCAGUGAGCCCUGUGCAGGAGUCCUACAGCAGCUUUACUGCCUGAGAGAGGAGGGGAACAGAAGUGGUCCUACCAGGAAGAUGCUAAAUGUACUGUACUGUAAAAACACAAGUAAAAAUGAUGAUUGCCCAUAAUAUGACCCUAGUCAUGUUGAGAUUUUAUUGAUUUGUUCACAUUAAAUAUUGGAAUCCAUUUUAUUACUGAAAAUAAUGUCAAAUUCUGCACCCUAUUUGACCUGAUGGGGGUGCUGUAAAAUGUGAAGAAUUUAAAAGUCAAAUUAAAUGCACUUUGAAUUGAGUAAUAAUCAAUGUUUUAUUUCCAGUCCCAUUGCACACAUUGGUAAUGUAUCCACAGGGGGUUGAUAUGAAAAUGUUGAGAGACAAAGAUGAGUUUGGCAGCUGCAUUUUUGGCUUUUGAUUCACUUUAUAAGCCCCCAGACUUCAAAAAUUCAAUUAAAAUGUAUGUAAAAUAUA
Molecule: long non-coding RNA, 964 nt
Organism: Siniperca chuatsi (mandarin fish)
Lineage: Eukaryota; Metazoa; Chordata; Actinopteri; Centrarchiformes; Sinipercidae
Exons: 2
Source: RefSeq, a predicted model, not a curated record